AUUGAACGCUGGCGGAAUGCUUUACACAUGCAAGUCGAACGGCAGCACGGGGCAACCUGGUGGCGAGUGGCGAACGGGUGAGUAAUACAUCGGAACGUGCCCAAUCGUGGGGGAUAACGUAGCGAAAGUUACGCUAAUACCGCAUACGAUCUACGGAUGAAAGCGGGGGAUCGCAAGACCUCGCGCGAAUGGAGCGGCCGAUGUCAGAUUAGGUAGUUGGUGGGGUAAAGGCUCACCAAGCCGACGAUCUGUAGCUGGUCUGAGAGGACGACCAGCCACACUGGGACUGAGACACGGCCCAGACUCCUACGGGAGGCAGCAGUGGGGAAUUUUGGACAAUGGGCGCAAGCCUGAUCCAGCCAUUCCGCGUGCAGGAUGAAGGCCUUC
RNAcentral lists this ribosomal RNA (387 nucleotides) under uncultured bacterium. RNAcentral describes it as "bacterial SSU rRNA". It matches the Rfam family "Bacterial small subunit ribosomal RNA", at positions 30 to 419 of the family's 1533-position model. The record is from RNAcentral.